AUCUGGCUUAGUUAUGAGGCAUAUAUAAAGUAAUACUUAUUAGUAUUUUUCAGGCUUGCAUUGAGGGGACUGUGGUGAUUAGUUUAUUGCCCCCAAACAGCCUUGGACAUAU
Small nucleolar RNA from Cornus florida, 112 nucleotides. RefSeq annotates it as small nucleolar RNA U19. NCBI's taxonomy places the organism in Eukaryota, Viridiplantae, Streptophyta, Magnoliopsida, Cornales, Cornaceae. The transcript has a single exon. The record is from RefSeq and is a predicted model, not a curated record.